Non-coding RNA from Lupinus albus (white lupine), 703 nucleotides. NCBI's taxonomy places the organism in Eukaryota, Viridiplantae, Streptophyta, Magnoliopsida, Fabales, Fabaceae. The record is from the annotation of a GenBank genome assembly.
CUGUUUAUAAUAUUACGGCUUCUUCCUAAUGUUACCAGAUCCAUAUAUAAAGAACGAAAAAGCCCUUGACUUUAAUCUCUAUUCACUCCCCUUUGGCCUUUUCUCCAUCUCUUUUUUUUAUACAUAGUUUAGUUUACUACAUGAUUUACUCUGAAUUUGAAAUCAACAUGUUGAUGAUGAGAAGGGUUAAAUUUAGUCAAUUUGACUUUCUUAGCCCCGGAACAAGUAUCACUCGUCAAAUGAAAUAGGUGUUUCCAUGUCUCAAACCAAUCACAUUGCACAAAACAUAUUUGGGACACCAAAAAUGGGACAGGAUCUCCAUUCUAUCUAUUAGCUUAGAUGCAUGCUUUCAAAUUCUUCUUGGUCUUUUUAAGAUGGGUGGGGGGAUUCAUGUCAAAAGAAAAGUAUACAUAUGGCAAUCGAACGGUUUAGACUUUGAAUUUUAUUUCUCUUUUGUUAUUUGCUACUUGCUAGAACUUACUAUUUGACCUGUUUUUCUAUUUCUCACUGAUAUACACAGGGAAAGUCACUGAAAAGAAAGUGCUGCAUGAUUCAGAUACAUGUCCGAAAUUGUAGUGGAUGGUAUCUUAGAUUAGUGCCUAUAGCUACCUUUUCGGUCCCAACUCCAAUACAGUGUAUAAUUUAAUUUAUAACAAAAUAAGUUAAAAUCAUAAUUUUUAUUUUCGACACAUGUCAUAAUUCC